AUUGAACGCUGGCGGCAUGCCUUACACAUGCAAGUCGAACGGCAGCACGGGUGCUUGCACCUGGUGGCGAGUGGCGAACGGGUGAGUAAUACAUCGGAACAUGUCCUGUAGUGGGGGAUAGCCCGGCGAAAGCCGGAUUAAUACCGCAUACGAUCUACGGAUGAAAGCGGGGGACCUUGGGGCCUCGCGCUAUAGGGUUGGCCGAUGGCUGAUUAGCUAGUUGGUGGGGUAAAGGCCUACCAAGGCGACGAUCAGUAGCUGGUCUGAGAGGACGACCAGCCACACUGGGACUGAGACACGGCCCAGACUCCUACGGGAGGCAGCAGUGGGGAAUUUUGGACAAUGGGCGAAAGCCUGAUCCAGCAAUGCCGCGUGUGUGAAGAAGGCCUUCGGGUUGUAAAGCACUUUUGUCCGGAAAGAAAUCCUUGGCCCUAAUACGGUCGGGGGAUGACGGUACCGGAAGAAUAAGCACCGGCUAACUACGUG
RNAcentral lists this ribosomal RNA (486 nucleotides) under uncultured bacterium. Its description in RNAcentral is "partial 16S ribosomal RNA". It matches the Rfam family "Bacterial small subunit ribosomal RNA", at positions 30 to 507 of the family's 1533-position model. The record is from RNAcentral.